Molecule: ribosomal RNA, 440 nt
Filed under: uncultured bacterium
Lineage: Bacteria
Description: partial 16S ribosomal RNA
Rfam family: Bacterial small subunit ribosomal RNA
Source: RNAcentral
CCUACGGUGGGCAGCAGUGGGGAAUAUCGCACAAUGGGGGGAACCCUGAUGCAGCGACGCCGCGUGAGUGAAGAAGUAUUUCGGUAUGUAAAGCUCUAUCAGCAGGGAAGAAAAUGACGGUACCUGACUAAGAAGCCCCGGCUAACUACGUGCCAGCAGCCGCGGUAAUACGUAGGGGGCAAGCGUUAUCCGGAUUUACUGGGUGUAAAGGGAGCGCAGACGGCUGUGCAAGUCUGGAGUGAAAGGCGGGGGCCCAACCCCCAGACUGCUCUGGAAACUGUAAAGCUGGAGUGCAGGAGAGGUAAGCGGAAUUCCUAGUGUAGCGGUGAAAUGCGUAGAUAUUAGGAGGAACACCAGUGGCGAAGGCGGCUUACUGGACUGCAACUGACGUUGAGGCUCGAAAGCGUGGGGAGCAAACAGGAUUAGAUACCCCAGUAGUC